CCGAUUCGGGGAGGUAGUGACAAUAAAUAACAAUACAGGGCCAACGGUCUUGUUAUUGGAAUGAGAACAAUUUAAAUAACUUAACGAGGAUCAAUUAGAGGGCAAGUCUGGUGCCAGCAGCCGCGGUAAUUCCAGCUCUAAUAGCGUAUAUUAAAGUUGUUGCAGUUAAAAAGCUCGUAGUCGGAUGUCGGGCUCGGGCAGGCUGUCGGCUUCGGUCGGACGGCAGGCUCGGGUCUUUCUGCCUGAGGAUCCAUCUCAUUCACUUGGGGUGGGGACGCAGGCCGUUUACUUUGAAAAAUUAGAGUGUUCAAAGCAGGCCUACGCUUGAAUACAUUAGCAUGGAAUAAUGGAAUAGGACUUUGGUGCUAUUUUGUUGGUUUAUGGGACCGAAGUAAUGAUUAACAGGGACAGUUGGGGCCGUUUAUAUUUCGUUGUCAGAGGUGAAAUUCUUGGAUUUACGAAAGAUAAACUUCUGCGAAAGCAUUCGGCAAGGAUGUUUUCAUUGAUCAA
This 510-nucleotide ribosomal RNA is filed under the name uncultured Cryptophyta. Its description in RNAcentral is "SSU rRNA". It matches the Rfam family "Eukaryotic small subunit ribosomal RNA", at positions 451 to 980 of the family's 1831-position model. The record is from RNAcentral. Lineage: Eukaryota; Cryptophyceae.